Molecule: ribosomal RNA, 316 nt
Filed under: Fimbriaphyllia divisa
Lineage: Eukaryota; Metazoa; Cnidaria; Anthozoa; Scleractinia; Caryophylliidae
Description: partial large subunit ribosomal RNA
Rfam family: Bacterial large subunit ribosomal RNA
Source: RNAcentral
CCAUGAAACUUUACUGGAAACUUAUGUGGCUGACUUAAAUAGUUUAAAAAUGUGGUGCGGGUUAACUAAGGCUAGAAAAGCGCACUUUUUUAUUUGAAGAAAGGCAACUCACGAACUUAUGUUUUUGGGGUUUGAUAAGUGGGACAGUUUGGUUGGGGCAACCGCCUUUAAAAAAGUAACGAAGGCGGGCUUAAGAUACAUAUUCAAUUGUGUCUGACUGCCAGGGGGAGACCCAGAGCAGACACUUAUCUUUAGAUGGUGGGUUUAAGUGACCCGUUAAUUUAAGGUGAAAUAGUUAACGAUAAACAGAUAAAAG